AGUAAGAUAACUGGAUCAAAUGGUGAACCAAUUCCAAGUUUUCUGAGGAAUCUCUAUACUGCUUUUCAGAGUGAUUAUGCCACUUUGCAGUUCUAUCAGAAAU
Molecule: microRNA precursor, 103 nt
Filed under: Marmota monax (woodchuck)
Lineage: Eukaryota; Metazoa; Chordata; Mammalia; Rodentia; Sciuridae
Source: RNAcentral